Molecule: long non-coding RNA, 1149 nt
Organism: Helianthus annuus (common sunflower)
Lineage: Eukaryota; Viridiplantae; Streptophyta; Magnoliopsida; Asterales; Asteraceae
Exons: 3
Source: RefSeq, a predicted model, not a curated record
AUCACGCACACACCCUUGUCUCUCUCUCAAAACCCUAUCCUUCAAAAAGAAACCUGCACACCAGAUACCUUCACGCUCUGAUCUCUCUCUAGAACUCAGGAAUUCCGGCAAAGAUCCAUGACAGACGGCCGGUCACCUUGGCGGCGGUCCGGCGAACAGCGCCGCUUUGACUCGCGGCGGCGGAGAUUGCUUCCCGGCAACCGUAUCUCCGACGACAGAUCAGUGAUGCUCUUGCUCUUCACCGGUAAACUCUCACCCCCCCCCUGUGACGUAUGAUACGGACCACCACCACCAUCGUUGUGGUGGUGGUGAGCAAUGACUGGCAUGGUAACGAAACAUGAGACAAAGAGAGGGAAAGAGAGAGAGAGAGGAGGAUGAUCGACAACAGAUGGCGGUGGCAGUGUCUCGACAAAUACCGGCGGCGGUAUUUUUAUUUCGGCGAGUUUCAGUCCGGUAACCCCACGAUUUCCUUUAUCUUCUUAUGUUUUUGUUAUUUUUUUUACAUACCCAAGUUCUCCGGUUAGUGGGGUGUUGUUUCAGGGUGGUUGUGGCUGAGUGAAGGUGGCGGUGAAGUCCCCGGCAGCCGGUGCCGAUAACCGUAUGGCAGCGGCGGUCAGUGGUGGUGCUUGGUUUGGUUGAGGUUCUCUUCAGAUGUGGUUCACUUCCGGUUCAAAUUUUAGGUUUAACCCAGUCAACUUUGUUAUUGUUCGACAAGAAAGCAGGAUGGCGACUCAGUUCAGUCUCGGCUCGGGUUCGAGUUAACUCAGCCAAACGGGUCAGUCGAGUCAACCCGGUCGACUCGGUCAACAUCCGAGUCAACUCGGGUCAACAAGUCAACCUUGAUUUGAUUACGGUACAACUCGGUUCAGUUAUGGUUCAAGCUUGGUUCGAAUCGGUCAACUGGUUUCGGUGCGGGUUACGGGUCGACAAGUCAACACUGGUCAACUGGUCAAACCCCAGUCAACGGCAGUCAACUGUCGGUCAACAGGUCAAACGUGGCCAACACGAAGGACCCGGAAUGCUUUAAUUGCACGCUAGCGAGUUCACAUUCUUGGAAAGACAUCACGGAAUCACACUUAGCUAGCUUUGCACAGGAAUAUCCAGGUUGCAUUUUCAAAACUAUGGAACGGUUGGAAUAGGAGAACCCAU